Molecule: ribosomal RNA, 506 nt
Filed under: uncultured bacterium
Lineage: Bacteria
Description: partial 16S ribosomal RNA
Rfam family: Bacterial small subunit ribosomal RNA
Source: RNAcentral
AGUGAACGCUGGCGGUAGGCCUAACACAUGCAAGUCGAACGGCAGCACAGGAGAGCUUGCUCUCUGGGUGGCGAGUGGCGGACGGGUGAGGAAUACAUCGGAAUCUACUUUUUCGUGGGGGAUAACGUAGGGAAACUUACGCUAAUACCGCAUACGACCUACGGGUGAAAGCAGGGGAUCUUCGGACCUUGCGCGAUUGAAUGAGCCGAGGUCGGAUUAGCUAGUUGGCGGGGUAAAGGCCCACCAAGGCGACGAUCCGUAGCUGGUCUGAGAGGAUGAUCGGCCACACUGGAACUGAGACACGGUCCAGACUCCUACGGGAGGCAGCAGUGGGGAAUAUUGGACAAUGGGCGCAAGCCUGAUCCAGCCAUACCGCGUGGGUGAAGAAGGCCUUCGGGUUGUAAAGCCCUUUUGUUGGGAAAGAAAUCCAGCUGGUUAAUACCCGGUUGGGAUGACGGUACCCAAAGAAUAAGCACCGGCUAACUUCGUGCCAGCCGCCGCAGUAA